GACGAACGCUGGCGGCGUGCCUAAUACAUGCCAGUCGAACGCACAGUUUAUACCGUAGCUUGCUACACCAUAGACUGUGAGUUGCGAACGGGUGAGUAACGCGUAGGUAACCUGCCUGGUAGCGGGGGAUAACUAUUGGAAACGAUAGCUAAUACCGCAUAAUAUUAAUUAUUGCAUGAUAAUUAAUUGAAAGGUGCAAUUGCACCACUACCAGAUGGACCUGCGUUGUAUUAGCUAGUAGGUGAGGUAACGGCUCACCUAGGCGACGAUACAUAGCCGACCUGAGAGGGUGAUCGGCCACACUGGGACUGAGACACGGCCCAGACUCCUACGGGAGGCAGCAGUAGGGAAUCUUCGGCAAUGGACGAAAGUCUGACCGAGCAACGCCGCGUGAGUGAAGAAGGGUUUCGGAUCGUAAAGCUCUGUUGUAAGAGAAGAACGGGUGUGAGAGUGGAAAGUUCACACUGUGACGGUAGCUUACCAGAAAGGGACGGCUAACUACGUG
Molecule: ribosomal RNA, 505 nt
Filed under: uncultured bacterium
Lineage: Bacteria
Description: partial 16S ribosomal RNA
Rfam family: Bacterial small subunit ribosomal RNA
Source: RNAcentral